GGUGGGGUGCCCGAGUGGUUAAAGGGGACGGGCUGUAAACCCGUUAGCUUUGCUUACGUUGGUUCGAAUCCAACCCCCACCACCA
This 85-nucleotide transfer RNA is filed under the name Alphaproteobacteria bacterium. Its description in RNAcentral is "tRNA-Tyr". It matches the Rfam family "tRNA". Rfam says of the family: Transfer RNA (tRNA) molecules are approximately 80 nucleotides in length. Their secondary structure includes four short double-helical elements and three loops (D, anti-codon, and T loops). RNAcentral also lists the same sequence under 1 other name. The record is from RNAcentral. Lineage: Bacteria; Pseudomonadati; Pseudomonadota; Alphaproteobacteria.